UACCAAUGGAUCCUUCUGAGCCUU
RNAcentral lists this non-coding RNA (24 nucleotides) under Arabidopsis thaliana (thale cress). Lineage: Eukaryota; Viridiplantae; Streptophyta; Magnoliopsida; Brassicales; Brassicaceae. The record is from RNAcentral.